Molecule: ribosomal RNA, 287 nt
Filed under: uncultured bacterium
Lineage: Bacteria
Description: partial 16S ribosomal RNA
Rfam family: Bacterial small subunit ribosomal RNA
Source: RNAcentral
GGAUUAGAUACCCUGGUAGUCCACGCCGUAAACGAUGGUUACUCGUUAUUGGCGAUACACAGUCAGUGACUAAGCGAAAGUGAUAAGUAACCCACCUGGGGAGUACGGUCGCAAGAUUGAAACUCAAAGGAAUUGACGGGGGCCCGCACAAGCGGUGGAGCAUGUGGUUUAAUUCGAUGAUACGCGAGGAACCUUACCAGGGCUUAAAUGCAUAUUGACAGGAGUGGAAACACUUUUUUCUUCGGACAAUUUGCAAGGUGCUGCAUGGCUGUCGUCAGCUCGUGCCG